Molecule: RNA transcript, 3701 nt
Organism: Pecten maximus
Lineage: Eukaryota; Metazoa; Mollusca; Bivalvia; Pectinida; Pectinidae
Gene name: kelch-like protein 6
Exons: 4
Source: RefSeq, a predicted model, not a curated record
GUGGUCUCCCCUUGGUAUGUAUGAUUUCCGCUGUGUGUUGUGGUUGUGAAGAGGGUUCAACUUCAGGGGUUGUCUGGAAUAUGGGAUCUAGCUUCCCCAAGGCCUAGGUAUCAAAUAUUGACUAUCGUGAUCAGUUAAGGGACUGACCAGUAUUGUGACCAUUAUCCCUGACGAUGACAUAGGACAUCAUUAUGGAUAUGUGCAGUCGACUGAAAUACUAUGAAGAGUUGUCGCGCGGCCUUGUGUCAAUGUGGCAGGCAGGCUGCUUCACCGACGUAGAAGUGGUGGUGGAGGAGGAGAGUUAUCACUGCCACAGAGUAGUCCUGGGGGCCAUGUCGGACUACUUCAAUGCCAUGUUUAGCUCAGGUUUUCGGGAGAGUAAUGAAAAACGAGUGAUUCUCCAGGGUGUAGACAGGCAAACUUUUGAGAUGAUCCUGUCCUUUCUGUACACUGGGGAGGACCAUAUCAACAAUGAUAAUGUGAGCCAGCUCCUGAUGGCCUCUGUAAUGCUACAGGUGACCAGCCUACAAACUAUCUGUGAGAAUUUCCUUCGCCAAAACCUCAACAUUUCCAACUGUGUGGGAGUAUGGAGAAUCGCCACAUCUCACGGCCUUCAGCAUCUUGUCAAGACCAGUUGGACUUUCAUCAUGAAGUACUUCCCUGAGAUAUGUGGAGAGGAAGAAUUUGAUGGCAUGACUGCCGAUGAACUUACUCUAAUCAUUGAUGACAAGGAUUUGUAUACUUCAUCUGAGGAGCUGGUGUGUGAUGCUGCCAUAAAAUGGGUGAAAGUCGAUAUAGUAUCAAGAUCAAGUGACAUGAAAGAAAUAUUUAGCCAUCUUCGGCUAAAUCUGAUGGACACCGAUUAUCUGAAGAAGCUUUUAGCCAUGGAUGUUAUUAAAGAGUGUGAUUGUGUGAAUAUGGUGCAGGAAAUUCUAGAUAGGUCAAGUGAGGAAGAAGAUAGUAUCACUGUUAGUGACUACAGAGAGGAGGAAGUUAUAUGCAUGGUCGGCACUCGAAGUAGAAAUCCUGACCCACAGAAGACUGAGAUACAAUGCUACAGUUAUCGCCAUCGGAAAACAUUUACACUGAUGGACCUUCCUAAGGAAACGGGUCCCUGCUUCGCCGUCUGCACUGAUGGUAAAGAUAUAUUCAUAUCAGGUGGUUAUGUGGAAAGAAAUAUCAUUCUUCAUUUUGUGGCCAAAGAAAACAAAUGGGUAGAAAGCAGUAUGAAUGAAGGACGAUGGAGCCAUGCAAUGGCAGCUUGUGGAGAUGCUGUUUUUCUUAUAGGUGGGAUGUCACAGACAAAUGCAACGAUGUCAUGCAUUGAAAAAUUUGACAUUCACAAAAAGUCCUGUACAAAGGUUGGGGAACUACAAGUGCCUGUUUCAUCUAUGACUCUAGCUGUACUGGGGAAAAGGAUAUACAUAUUUGGAGGAAAACAUAGCAACCGUCAACCAGCCACAGUAAUCCAAUGUUACAACACUCAAACUGGUGGAUGUGUAGUGGUUGGUGAUCUACCCAGCUCCUGUGCGGGGAGUGUUGGACGAGCAGUGAAUUUUGAGGACAGGGUCUAUCUGAUCCUCAGAGAAGGCCAGAUUGUGGAAUUUCAAAAUCACUGUGCUACACAGGUGUGUGGUAUCACAAAGUUUGAUCACUUUGGUGCAGUUGAGUUUGAGGGUCGUAUCCUAAUUGUAGGGACACUGAGUGGAAAGUUCUCCAUGUUUCAGUUUGACCCUCAAUCUAAAAAAUAUAAUGAGGUAGAGGAGUCACAUGUUCUAUUCAAAGCAGCAAUGUGUAACUUUCACUGCCUGAAGAUGGUUCUAAGUAAGAAAUUCCUUAUAUAGGUAAUUGAAAAAUAAUCCCUUAAACAUGCUGUUGAAUUCCACAUUCAAAAACAUUGAUAUCUUUCUGCUUGACUUUGUGAAUCAACUUAUUGUAUAAGUAAAUGUCUUAAUUUUCAAACUGGUGGACAUAUAGUGGUUUAUGAUCUACCCAGCUCCUGUGCUGGGAGUGUCAUGAACAAGCAGUGAAUUUUGAGGACAGGGUCUCUAGCUGAUCCUCAGUGAGGGUCAGAUUGUGGAAUUUGAGUUUUGAGGGUUGUAUUCUGAUUGUAAGGACACUGCAUGAGUGGAAUUGUGUAUCUGUUCGACCCUCAAUAAAUGAGGUAGAGGAGUCCCAGUAUUUCCUCCGCCUAGAUAUAGCUUUGAAAAAUUUUGACAAAUAAGAUUUUUGAAGUUCAUUCUGAAAUUAUGUGUGAUUAAACAGAUUCGCCUUAUGGAUCAUUUGUUUAUGUAUUAGACUCUCUGAGUUCAGUUAUAUAUGCCUGUUUUUUUUUUUUUUUGCCUAGUGAGUAGUCGUGUUGUUUGUUUGAAUUACCUAUGUGGUAUAUAAUUAUGCUUCCCUUGUUUCCUUCCUAGACUGGUUUUAAUAAGAUCACCUAAGAUGAAUUCUCAGGUGAUCUAUUGCAUUCACCUUCUGUGCGUCAUCUUGCAUUUCAUAAUUAUUAUUGUCUGUCAUAUAAAGAGGUCCAGGGUCAUAAUAUUAGGCCAGUAGCAUGCAUGGUGGGAUAAAUGAUUUACCAAGUUUGUUCAAAUGAAUGGUCUUGACCUUCUUUCAAGGUCACAGGGGCCAACUGUGUAAAAAUCUUGAAAAAGCUUCUUCUCAAUAACCAUGAAGCACAGGAGGGCCAUGGUAUUAUGCCAGUAACAUGCUUGGGUGAACGACUACAAAUGUUGAUCAAAUGGAUGACCUUGACCUACUUUGACCAAAUUUAGCCACCCAUCAUCUAUACAAACAAUUUUGUGUUUAAAUCAAUUUGAAGAUAGAUAUGUGGUAGUGGGACAAGUAUUAAAAGAAAUUUUAACUUGACGGACCUUAAAAUGUUUACAAUAGAAUUGGCUUACAAUCUUUCAUUAUAAUCCUUAUCAUCGGUAAUUAUGAGAGAUUUUAUUAAGGUUAGCAAAAUAGCCUACUAUAAAUAUAUAUAAAUAGUAACUGAAUCUUGAUACUUAACUGAUUGCCAGUCUAAAUUAUCUUUUACAAAAAGUGCUUUUAGAUAUCUUAUCAUUGAAACAUACAUUGCUAAAUUUUUGAAAAAAGCAAAUGAAAAGUGAAAUUUCCUUAAAACUGAUCAUAAAGUUAUGGAAUUCUCUGAAGUGCAUGGAUAAUUUUGGACAUGUUAACUAUUUAAGUGAGAAAAUAUUACCUGAAAUCAGUCUGAGAAUUAAAACAUUCGUUUAAGUUGUAUACGAGUAAUUAGGAUAUUGUUUUCAGAUUUAAGGAUCUAGAGUGUGUGAUAUGAUUGAAAUAUAUUUGUUAAAGGUUGUUGUUCAGAAUGCUCGUUAAUUGAUAUGAUGGGGAAACUGUUUUUAUUCUGAGUAUUAAUCAUUUUAACUUGCACUGUUACUUUUUAAACCUUUACUAGGCUAUUUAUUGAUAUCUAUCUGUACACCGCCUAAGAUGUUUUUUAACUAAUUAUGGACCAAUAUAAAAGGUAUCAUUAACAAAAACAUAACAAUAUUGUUCAUUGUUUAUCUAAUAAACUUAUAUAACUGUUUCAUGUUCUCUGUCUGUAUGUGAUCGUUUGCAAUUUACUUGUGUUUUUAAGUUGAUAAAGGGGUGGAUUGCCUCGAAAAUUUGACAAUUUAUUAUAAUUACUUGUCUGUACUGUCGUUAAUAUUACUACAUAACGAAUUAUAUAA